GCGGUCAUUCUUUAACUUAUGUGGAGUCGGUUUGCUUUCCUUCUCCACACCGCCUCAAUUAGUUGCGUCAAGCCGAGUCACUGUCUAUUUUCUCAUGUUUUUCCGUUUUCCCGCCACCUCCUACUUGGUUUUGCGCACCGACCACUGGGUUCAAUAAACGGCGUCGUUUGGCUAUUGAUGAAGGUCACCUAGACGUCACGAUGAGGUAGAAGACUUAACGGUGGGUUUUCCUUCUUGGCGGCCACGUUCCCCCCAAAGCUGCAUACCUUUUGGAUCCCCUUUUACCGCCACCUCCCAUUGAUUGCUGCUGAGUCACCCUUUUGACUUCCUCUUCAUGCCGCUCCAUGUUUAUUCUGUAUUUAAGGGUUUUGUUGCUUCACGAUUGAUGUUGAAGAGGACGAAAGGGAAGAGCCUGAUGAAGAGACGAUUUAGCCUAAAGACCGUUACUAAUGACAAAUCGAUGACAUGGAACCUUAAAUUAAGGUAAUCUAUUUUUCUCAUUUUCUCUUUCUCGAUUACUUAUUGACGUGCACAGUAUCCACCACCAUGACCAGCUUGUAUUCUUACUCUCAUCUUUUGUUGACUGUUAGAUAAAACUAAUUUUCCUUUUUUUUUAAUAAUUUAACAUAUACAAUGACUUUCUUGAUUCUCUUUUGAUUUUAGUAAUCGUACAUGAAAAAACCAUCAUGACCACCUUCAGAAUAUAGUUCUUUUAGUGCCUGGGUUUGCUGGAUCUAUUCUCAAUGCUAAUGAUGUUGAAACAAGGAAAGAAGAGAUGGUUUGGGGUUCAAAUUUGGGAAUUUGAUUGUCAAUUUUUGUGGGAAACUUUGCUGUCAGUUCGUACUGAUUGAACAAAGUAUGUUCUUAUCUAACACUAAAUUUAUUAAUCAGAUUUCUAAUAUAUCUACAUGCCCUUCCAGAUCAUCUUUCUUGAUGUUUUUUUAUAAUCGUCAUACCCAGGGUAUUUGUAGUCUUGUCAUGGUUCUACUUAAUUAGGAUUUAGAAUAUUCGUAUGAGACGCAUUUGUGAAUCAAGGUAAUGGUUUCAAUUUCGGUAUGUCCUUUAAAAGCGGAAUUGUUCUUGAUCAAAAAAUAAGAUAUCUCAAUUACCCUUUAACAACAGUGUCAUCCGAAAAUAUACAGCAAUAGUAGAAUAUCAUUCCAUCUUAAUGUUUAAUGACUAUUGAGUAUUGAUUGCAUGUCUAUCAUCCGAAUAUAAACGUCAAUGAUGUGCUAGAAAUUGAAAAUUUAUAAUGACUAACAAUUCUUGGAGGCUCUUGAAACCUUUUUAAUUGUGUGGUUUGAAAGUUUCCAUUGUGAGUACUUUGUUAUCUCAAGUUUAGUGUGCUAGAAUAUGGAGAUUUGGCAGGAGACAUGUUUCUGAACCUUUGGAUACCACUCGAUAAAUUUGUUGAGGAUGAAAAUGUAGUUGCAGGUAAGGAUACAUUAUCUGUCAGAUUAGUAAUAUGGUUUUUGUUGGUUACAUAGAUUGUAAUUAAUUCAUAUGAGAUAUAAUAAGGUUAGGAUGAGGACUUAUUUGUGUUGAGAAUUUAGUAGCAUUUUCCCCAGAUGUUGGUGGACUAGCUACAAGCUCGAGAGUUUCAUGAUCUUUUAAUAUUUUUCUUAGGUUAAAACUAACAGUUUAUUUGUUAUUUUCAUACAAAAAAUGAAAGGGAUUAUUUCAUUAAAUCCUUUUGCGGAAUUGAGAAACCUAGAUUGCAAGUCAACCUCAGACCCUGUGGACUCAUCAAACACUUUCACCGCUCCAUUCCGAAACAAAAUACUUCUAUGGAGGUAAUCGUGAUAGGGGAAUGAGCAUGGUAUUUCCAAAGGUUUUUGGAUUCAAGUUGUUGGGGAAAUAAAAUAAUGGUGCAAAAGCUACUGAUUGCGCUUUUUGACAGUCGCCCAAAGGUAUGCAGCAACAAAAACAUGCUAAAAUCCCCUUCCUCAAUAGAUGGAACAAAGUCUCAGCAGAAACACAUGACACCAUUAGUUGAUGCAAGAGUUUUAUAUAGCUGGAAAAAUAAAUCCUUUAUGAGGAUAUCAAACCUUGAGCAUAACGUAUAUAUAAUAAGUAGUACUGCAUGAAUCAUAAAUGCAUAUAUUAUAUCCAACGCAUACCAAUUGUUCGAUACAAUGCUCAUGACAAUUCUCUUUCCUUAUGAUCUCAAUUUUAAUAAACUUAUACAUAUACUUUGCAAGAAAGGAAAUGUUUAGGAGAGUGAGUUUUUUCCACAAGUUAUCGAAGUAUUUAUGAAUAUUAUUUGUGUUUAUUUAGCCAACUGUUGGUUGUCUUCAUUUGACAGAAGUGUGUCGGGUGUAAUUUUGAUACCUAUAAAAAGUUUACAUUUUGAUUCUUUUUUUUUUUUACCUUAAACUUUACUGCUCAAAGAACAUACAAACCCAUCUCAUUUAGAGCUUCAAAAAAACUGCAAAUCGAGGAAGAAGAUGCACAUGGGAGAAACUUUCAGCCAUUAAAGGCAACUGUGGAAACUGACUUGUUCUUGAUGAAUUUGUUGUAAUUUUAAACCGCAUGGAUACUUAGAACUAUCAGGCUUGUUCUGCUGGUUUUGAUGUUUUUCUUUUGACUUUGGCCCAAUAUCCACCCCUUGACAGUGGUUUUUCAUAGCAGAUACCAAGUUGGUAUAUAGAAAUUUAGAUAUUUGUUAUUUGUA
Non-coding RNA from Lactuca sativa (garden lettuce), 2674 nucleotides. The record is from RefSeq and is a predicted model, not a curated record. NCBI's taxonomy places the organism in Eukaryota, Viridiplantae, Streptophyta, Magnoliopsida, Asterales, Asteraceae.